AAGGAGCCGGACUCUCCGGUGGAGAAGCCACAUCGGCACCAGAUUCCGGUGCCGGACUUGGAGAAUUUGUCGACGGAUCUGCAGAGAUACAUUGUUGUACGAACAGAACUGCAAAGAGAAGCAUGAAAGAAAGCACUCGAAUUGUCGCCAUUGCUAUCAAAACCUAACACACAACAGAAAAACUAAGUUAAAGUAAAUCAAAGCAAUUUACAAUGCAAAAAACAAAUGCAGAUCUGGAGAUUUACAGAGAAUUUUGUGGUGAAACUGAAGACUUACCGUUGAAGUAAAAGGAAAUUCAAAAUUCAAAGUCUAGAGAGAGAAGGAGAGUACCUGCGGAAGUGUGGAGAGAGAGAAAGGCGAUGAAUGAGGGACUGCUAGUGCUAGAUUAAGG
RNAcentral lists this long non-coding RNA (391 nucleotides) under Nicotiana tabacum (common tobacco). RNAcentral's name for it is "long non-coding RNA (NTAB_LNC006375)". Lineage: Eukaryota; Viridiplantae; Streptophyta; Magnoliopsida; Solanales; Solanaceae. The record is from RNAcentral.